GUAAAAAUAUGAUGGAGAGUUUGAUCCUGGCUCAGAACGAACGCUGGCGGCGCGUAUUAAGCAUGCAAGUCGAACGAGAACCUUUUCUUCGGAAGAGGGGAUAGUGGCGAACGGGUGAGUAACACGUAGGUGAUCUAUCCUUGAGUGGGGGAUAGUCCAUGGAAACAUGGGGUAAUACCGCAUGAGGUCUGCACCAUAAAUGGUGUUUGAUGGAAGGCGCUUUAUGCGCCGCUUGGGGAUGAGCCUGCGGUCCAUUAGCUAGUUGGCAGGGUAAUGGCCUACCAAGGCGACGAU
RNAcentral lists this ribosomal RNA (294 nucleotides) under bacterium. Its description in RNAcentral is "partial 16S ribosomal RNA". It matches the Rfam family "Bacterial small subunit ribosomal RNA", at positions 1 to 280 of the family's 1533-position model. The record is from RNAcentral.